GAUGAACGCUAGCGGCAGGCUUAAUACAUGCAAGUCGUGGGGCAGCACAGUCCGCCGAAAGGCGGAUGGGUGGCGACCGGCAAACGGGUGCGGAACACGUACGCAACCUUCCUACAGGCGGGGAAUAGCCCAGAGAAAUUUGGAUUAAUACCCCAUAAAAUUUUAAGACGGCAUCAUCUUAUUAUUAAAGACUUCGGCACCUGAAGAUGGGCGUGCGGCUGAUUAGGUAGNGGUCGGGGUAACGGCCCGACCAAGCCUGCGAUCAGUAGCUGAUGUGAGAGCAUGAUCAGCCACACGGGCGACUGAGACACGGGCCCGGACUCCUACGGGAGGCAGCAGUAAGGAAUAUUGGUCAAUGGACGCAAGUCUGAACCAAGCCAUGCCGCGUGGAGGAUGAA
This 398-nucleotide ribosomal RNA is filed under the name uncultured bacterium. RNAcentral describes it as "bacterial SSU rRNA". It matches the Rfam family "Bacterial small subunit ribosomal RNA", at positions 28 to 412 of the family's 1533-position model. The record is from RNAcentral.